Molecule: long non-coding RNA, 1219 nt
Filed under: Anser cygnoides (Swan goose)
Lineage: Eukaryota; Metazoa; Chordata; Aves; Anseriformes; Anatidae
Description: lncRNA (ENSACDG00005008798.1)
Source: RNAcentral
AAAAAAAAAAAGCUUUUUCUCCCAUUUAAAGCUUUUUCUCCCAUUUUAUUCAGCUCCGUGCUGCAUGGCCGGGGGUGCACGUGCAAUAAGGCUCUCCCCAGUUAUCAGAGCUCUGCGUUUGUGCUGUGCCCCCCUCCAAGCGCGCAGUGCCCGUAGCAUCGUGGGUGCGACCACAGCACAAAAAAUCAGACACCACCCUGGCAGCUGACGCCCCUCCGCACCAAGGCAGCACGGCCGUAACACCAAGUCGCAGCGUUGUACUUCGUGCUUUCCUGGCCUGCUCUCUCCCAUGGGCUCUGAGAUGACAGAGACCUCCCGGACAAACCUCACCUGGCAGCCCUGCCUACAAAGGGCUUGAUCCCUGAGACCCACCCCUUACACUACUACAGGUCCAGCAGUGACCCACCGCAGCCCGUUAUGUUACUACAGUCCCAGCAGUGACCCAGUUACGUUACUACAUGUCCAGGAGCGAUCCACUACAGAUCGUUAUGUUACUACAGGUUCAGGAGCGACCAGCUACAGUCAGCUAUAUUACUACAGGUUCAGCAGUGACCCAGCACAGACCAUUACAUUACUACAGGUUGAGGAGUGACCCACUACAGUCAGUUAUAUUACUACAGGUUCAGCAGUGACCCAGCACAGACCAUUACAUUACUACAGGUUGAGCAGUGACUCACUACAGCUUUACUACUACAGACAACUAUUACUACGGGUUAAGCAGUGACUCACUACAGACAGCUAUAUUACUACAGAUUGAGCAGUGACCCACUACAGCUUUAUUACUACAGACAACUCUUACUACAGGUUGAGCAGUGACUCACUACAGGCAAGUUACAUUACUACAGCUGUAUUACUACAGGCCCAGCAGUGACCCAGCACAACGGGGGUCUCAGAGCACAGCUCUCCCGAACCCAGCCCCAAGGAAGGUGCCUCCAGCGCUGCCCCUUUCCCUUCCAGCUCCUUCUGACCGCUUCUCAGCGCUCCCGUCACCUACAUCCACGCCGUUACGGGGGCAUUCGCCACCCAAGCCCCACGUACAGCCCCACAAACUGCUUGUAACUACCCAACUACAGCCCCAGAGGAUGCUUGUGACUAACAAGAGCCUAUCCUAGAGCUGCUUUUUGCCGUGGUUCCCUGAAGGGGAGCCCAGCCAGCCCUCAGAAGACCACACCGUUUACCACUACCCCCGCUGGGACAGUGUGGCUGUAGCCGCCCGGCC